This 253-nucleotide ribosomal RNA is filed under the name uncultured bacterium. RNAcentral describes it as "partial 16S ribosomal RNA". It matches the Rfam family "Bacterial small subunit ribosomal RNA", at positions 524 to 776 of the family's 1533-position model. The record is from RNAcentral.
UACAGAGGUCUCAAGCGUUGUUCGGAUUCAUUGGGCGUAAAGGGUGCGUAGGCGGCGCGGUAAGUCGGGUGUGAAAUCUCGGGGCUUAACUCCGAAACUGCAUUCGAUACUGCCGUGCUUGAGGACUGGAGAGGAGACUGGAAUUUACGGUGUAGCGGUGAAAUGCGUAGAUAUCGUAAGGAAGACCAGUGGCGAAGGCGGGUCUCUGGACAGUUCCUGACGCUGAGGCGCGAAAGCUAGGGGAGCAAACGGG